AGGCUUCCCUGGAGAUGUCGUGACACUGGCUUCCUCCAGAGCUGCAGACCCUGAGCAAUGAGGAUAUCGGCGUUACUGCGUGACAGUGGGACAUGGAUACAGGAGCGACCUCAGUGAUGACCGCGUGGCUGAAAGGCAAGGUAGGGAGACCAGUGUCUAUUCUGCAAGGUGGCCCUGUCCUAGGGGUGUUUUCCUUGGAAAAGACGCCAGAUUGGUUCCCAGAACGUGAUACUGCGAGGAGUCCACCCUCUUCCUGCACAAGAGCUGCCGGUUCCUUCCCGGACGUGUCUCGGUGAUCGCUUUAAUGGGGAGUGUGAUUUCCACGGUGGUGGGGUGUCCCCAAGCUGGGAGUCGCCUUCGUUUCGGUAAGCUGUCCCUGCCGCUGCCUGCUGGUGGUGUUGGGCUGCGCUCCAAUAAUCUGCCCCGGUUCGCAAUUUCUUAACACAGCUAUUUUGUUUAUGAUAAGAAUUCUGUAUUUACGUUACUUACAUGUAGGUAUAUAUUAAUUUAAUGCCUAUUUACAGUAAGAAUUUCAUUUUAAUUUACAAGAUUAUACUCCAGCAAUCUUUUUCCAGUUCAGGGUUUCUCAACAUACAUAACGCUUUUUUUCUCUUGUCAAGAUAAAUUCGAUCAUUUGUACGUUCCGCGACUCCGCGUUGUUUUUUAACCUUGUCGCUUCUUUAUAAACUCUCUAGAUUUAAUAAAAUGGAAGUAUCACAUACGAGGAAAACGCA
RNAcentral lists this long non-coding RNA (734 nucleotides) under Apteryx rowi (Okarito brown kiwi). RNAcentral's name for it is "lncRNA (ENSARWG00000002221.1)". Lineage: Eukaryota; Metazoa; Chordata; Aves; Apterygiformes; Apterygidae. The record is from RNAcentral.